UUCCCUGGGGUGUUGGCCAGUCGUUAAAGUCCCUCGAGCCUAUGCGCAAGACCCAGGGCGGCCAUUAGCUAGCCGGACCCGUGUGCAUGUCCGUAUAUCGGAAAGCCUAACGGUUCGACUGCGGCCACCCACCUUGAACCACAGGGUUCAAGGGCCAGAAUGACAGCGGCACUCUGGGGAA
RNAcentral lists this non-coding RNA (181 nucleotides) under Candidatus Halomonas stercoripullorum. RNAcentral describes it as "6S / SsrS RNA". It matches the Rfam family "6S / SsrS RNA". Rfam says of the family: E. coli 6S RNA was the first non coding RNA to be sequenced, but its function was unknown until recently. Lineage: Bacteria; Pseudomonadati; Pseudomonadota; Gammaproteobacteria; Oceanospirillales; Halomonadaceae. The record is from RNAcentral.